Molecule: ribosomal RNA, 546 nt
Filed under: uncultured Glomus
Lineage: Eukaryota; Fungi; Glomeromycota; Glomeromycetes; Glomerales; Glomeraceae
Description: SSU rRNA
Rfam family: Eukaryotic small subunit ribosomal RNA
Source: RNAcentral
UUGGAGGGCAAGUCUGGUGCCAGCAGCCGCGGUAAUUCCAGCUCCAAUAGCGUAUAUUAAAGUUGUUGCAGUUAAAAAGCUCGUAGUUGAAUUUCGGGAUUAGUACGUCGGUCGUGCCUUAGGUACGUACUGGUGUUACUGGUUCCUACCUUCUGACGAACCAUCAUGUCAUUAAUUUGGUGUGGUGGGGAAUCAGGACUGUUACUUUGAAAAAAUUAGAGUGUUUAAAGCAGGCUCGCGCUUGAAUACAUUAGCAUGGAAUAAUGAAAUAGGACGUUGAUCCUAUUUUGUUGGUUUCUAGGAUUGACGUAAUGAUUAAUAGGGAUAGUUGGGGGCAUUAGUAUUCAAUUGUCAGAGGUGAAAUUCUUGGAUUUAUUGAAGACUAACUACUGCGAAAGCAUUUGCCAAGGAUGUUUUCAUUAAUCAAGAACGAAAGUUAGGGGAUCGAAGGCGAUCAGAUACCGUCGUAGUCUUAACCAUAAACUAUGCCGACUAGGGAUCGGAUGAUGUUAUUUUUAAUGACUCAUUCGGCACCUUACGGGAAAC